GAAAAUUGUUGCUAUUUAUACUUUUCUAGUUCAGACACAGGGGCCUUACUCAUAAGGUGACCACUAUAACACUGCCAUUUUAUUCUCUUUGGUAAUUUUAGGACACUUCAAUCUUCCUUAAGACUCCUUGUAUGGGAACUGUGUGUGGAAACUGAUGGAAAUUCUCUUCCUCACUGCUAUGAUGAGGGGAAGUUUGGCUCUCCGGGAUGUUGCUUGCCUGAACAUUAGUGAAGACUCAGAAGGAUGGCUAGAGAACAUCAGUCUGAAUAGAAGCAUUAUGAAAUUCAACUGUCAAAGAAUUAUUUAUGGUAACUUUGCAAGCUGCUUUUCUUUUGGUAAUAAACCAAAUAAGUAGAAAUAUGGCAAUUGUCUUAUUGCUUGAUUUUUACUUCUUUCCUUCUUCGUGUCUGUAAUUUCUUUCUCAAAUACAUACAUAUGAAGUUUAACAGACAGACUUCUGUAAUACUCUGACAUAAUCUCAAUGCUCUGUUCUUGUGAGUAUAGAUGUAAACACUUAAACUAAGGUCCUUUGUAACAAUAACUCUUUCCACCAGCUGCCCGCUUCAGGGCCCCCAAAUAACACACAGAGUCUUAUAUUAGUUACAGUGCUGCUGUCCAAUGACUAGGAUUUCUAAUAUGCUAGCUCAGUCUUAAUUAUCAACCAUAACUACUAAUGUAUAUAUUUUAUAAAGACUUAUCUUACCUAGGAUGCCAGUGGCAUGCAUCCUCUCUUCCUGGGAUCACAUGGCGACUCCGUCCCUUUCCUACAUUCCCCAGAAUCCUCCUUCUCUCCUACUCCCACCUAACUUGCUUCCCUAUUGGCCAACAGUGCUUUAUUUCUCAACCAAUAAGAGAGACAUAUACACAGAAGGACUUCCCCCAUCAGUCCUCCAGCAAAGUUCCCCUUGCUCUAGAAUUACUGCCUUGGUUGCUCCACCAUAAUACAACCCCCUCCAGUUGUCUUAAGCUUAUAAACUGUUUAUUAACUCUUACUUUGGAUAGAUAAUUCAUUCAAACAUAAACCAAUAUGUAGGAUUGUGAUUAUUCUUGAAACAUUUUAAAAAUAGAUGAGACUUGAGCUCUUAAGCUUAUUUUGAUAUUAUAAGAAAACAGUGCAAGGGAUUCAGUUCUAUGUCUCUACAUUUACAUACCAGAACACCUUUGGAAAUUAAUAGUGUGCUAUGAAAACUCAGAAUCUUCACAGGUAAUUCUAGACCAAGUCUUUCUUGGCCUAAGGAUUUAGAUGAAAAUACAUAAAUACAAUGCAGAUUUGCGACAAAGUAUAUAGCAGAUAACUUUGGACAGCAAAUUUAUAUGUGAUACAUGUAUUUGUUUACUGUAAUUAGUAGUUUUUGACAAUUUCAAUAAUGUAUAUAAUA
This 1379-nucleotide long non-coding RNA is filed under the name Cricetulus griseus (Chinese hamster). Its description in RNAcentral is "lncRNA (ENSCGRG00015042107.1)". The record is from RNAcentral. Lineage: Eukaryota; Metazoa; Chordata; Mammalia; Rodentia; Cricetidae.